UACGGGGGGGGCAAGCGUUGUUCGGAAUUACUGGGCGUAAAGGGCGCGUCGGCGGCCUGCUAAGUCACACGUGAAAUCCCUCGGCUCAACCGGGGAACUGCGUGUGAUACUGGCGGGCUUGAAUUCGGGAGAGGGAUGUGGAAUUCCAGGUGUAGCGGUGAAAUGCGUAGAUAUCUGGAGGAACACCGGUGGCGAAGGCGGCAUCCUGGACCGAGAUUGACGCUGAGGCGCGAAAGCUAGGGGAGCAAACGGG
This 253-nucleotide ribosomal RNA is filed under the name uncultured bacterium. RNAcentral's name for it is "partial 16S ribosomal RNA". It matches the Rfam family "Bacterial small subunit ribosomal RNA", at positions 524 to 776 of the family's 1533-position model. The record is from RNAcentral.